GUAUAGAGCUGACAUCUGUCGGCGACGCCGAGCAACAGUGCAGCACGCAUCAGCUGUGUGGAUCUCGCAAGAAGAAGUUCAGCAGGAAAAUACCGAAAUGUCUUGGAUUUGGAAUAAUGGACUACUCAACUAUCUGGAUCAAAAAAGAGGGGCCAUGUGAGACAUCUACUGUGCCAGAGUCGAUGGUCCAGGUUUACCCAUCCAAUGUGAAAGUAGAAGAGGAUAUGCAAGGGGGUAUGAAUCCGGAGGGAGCACUAAAGGCCAAAGUAGCACAACAAAUCCACACACAUUACAGGAACUCAAGGAUAAUAUCCAUGAGUCAGUUCAUUCACUUUCUCAAAGAGAAGUACAUUGUGUGACAAAUAAUUUCUUCAGUAGAUGUGAGGAAUGCGUGGAAAAAAAUGGCAAGUAGUUCCAGCAUCUCAAUGCAUGACGUAGGCAGAAGAUAGGAAUGAAGUGCCAACCUAUUUCUAAACUGGAAGUGCAGUCUGUAGCAAAUUAUGUGGAGAGUUUGCAUAGCAAUAGCAGUAAUACAAGGUGUCCAACAAAGGACUUCCUAACAUUAGAAUUAAAUAACAUGAAAAUAGUAGAAUAGACAUUAUGUUUACUGUGGAAGCAGUAAGAACUUUAUAUAGAAGCUUUGAAAUAAUAGUUACAAAACAUGGAACUGUCAUAGCAUAACAAUGUACUUAUAAAUAAUACUCCAAAGUACAGAGCAAUCAGUUCCACAAAUCAGUUCAUCAAAUUCAAAUGGACAGGCAGCAUGUAAAUGUUGGGCCGGUGGCAGCUGUAGUUACUCUUGAAGAUGUCAGCACACUUUCUGGAAGCAUUCAGCAGAAUAUGAGGAAAUUUGUCCAAAAAAUUUCUAUAGAGGCUGGUUUGAAGUGUUCAAGCAUGCAUAUACUACUGAGAAAAGGUCCACACAUGUUCCUAUUGAAAAUCCACAGCCACCAGGUCAUAUCCGUAACCACUGUGAAAUAAAGGGCUUACUGCAGACCGAAUUCUCACAAUAACUGAAGGAUUUGGUGCUGGCUGCAUCUGGUUUUCUGGUUAAGGAUACAUCCAUCUGAAUGUGUUGGAGAAUAAGAAAACUGUCAGUUUUGGGGUACCAAAAAAGCCCCUUUUGUAUGAAGAAAAACCAUUGCAUUCUCCUAAAGCUAUUGUUUAGGCUUGUGAUAUGCAGCAGGCAUACAAUCAGCCCUUAUGUCAUGCAAGAAUCAGUAGCUAGUAAACAUUACUUUAUAAUUUUUGAAAAGUUUGUCAUCAAACAAUAAGCUUUAGAGCCUCAAUGUGCACUGAGUGAUUCAUGCAAGAUGGGGCCUGAUCGCAUGCCACCAAACAGGUGUUCCACUUUCUUGAGGAAUACUUCAAGAAUAGGGUCGUUGUGUGCAUUAUCCCAUUUUUAUGGACACAGGCAUGGAAAGCCUCCAUAUUCACUCAGUCUGACUUUUGGGACUACUUUUCAGGGGCACGUUGAAAUACAUCAUCAACUGGGACCAUCCCACCACACUGGAUGAAUGUGAACUGUUGAUCUGCAUUGCAACUGAAUCCAUUUCUGUACACUUCAAGAUGUGAUAAAUAUGAUGAGCAGUGAGCAUUUUGAAAAGAUUAUGAUGUGAUUGCCAAGGCUGUUUGCAAAAGAUAAAAUUUAUUUAUGCAUGCUGAUAAAAGCGUAAAUUGUACAGUGCCAUUAGCAGUUUUUCUAAGUAUUAUACAAAACAACUGUACAAAAUUCUGUGUGUUCAAAAUUAAUCUACCAUUCAUUCAAUUCUUUUCUUUUCUGUGUUAGUUAAUUAUAAACCAGGGAGUCCUUGGUUGGCUACCCUUUAUAUUUAUAGUUAAUGAAAACCCAGCAACUACACACACAAUUCUUCAGUCAGCAGAUCUUCAAACUUCCACUCCUAGGUACUCCACAAUGAAAGAAAGGGAGCAGAAUGAUGAAUAUGGUUCUGCAAUUGAGUCAAUCACUAAUACACUGCAAGAAGUUGGUGAUGAAACAGAUAUUUUUGCUAAAUUUUUGGGAGCAGAAAUCAGAAAAAUCGUGUCAAGGAGAAAAGGGAUGUAAACCUAAUAUUAAUUAAAGAGUUAUGGAAAUCAUUAGAUGAAUAAAUUUUAUGUUGGAAUGUAAUUUGCUUCAGGACUAUGGAAUUGUAAUCUGCACCUGUCCCACUAUCUGUACGCUAAUAUUAGCUUAUGGGAGAGAGAAAUAGGGGAGCAUCCAUACACUUCUAGGCAGUGUUCAUUCAUAUAAUCAAGCAGAGUGCAUUUAUUCACAGGCUGCUGCAAAUAAUUACCCGUUUGCAGCAAACCUCUGUGGAUGUGAUCAAGUGGGGGACAGACUUGUUGAAUGAGAGUUUUAUUUACAUUCUUGUGCAUCAAGAUCAGAACUUAUUUGGAAAAUUUAUUCUUGUAUUCAACCAUCCAGUGUGAAUCAUGUAACAAGGAGCAUAUUAAGUAUUGUUUGAUAACAUAUUCUUCAGGACUGUAUAUUACUUUAUAUUUCACACAGUACAACCUACUAAAUUCAAAGUUAGUAAAUAUCAUACAAUAUGCUCAUUAUUAAUUCCCCCACUGUGCUUUGGUUUUGUAUGGCAGUAUCCUUUCAGUGAGGUGAAAUUUAUUGCCUGUGUAACUCAAAGGCACUGUGAAAUGUAGGUAAGUUCAGUCACCUAUGAAAUUAAAGGGUCACAUAUGAUGUAUUACUAUUUGAAAACACCACUGUCUGUGUGAAGCCAGUAUGCUGUGUAAAUUAUUUUGACAGAAAUAUGGCCUCAGCUUUGCACACAGUUAAAUAACAGGAAAUGGCAGUGACCUCUGCAUAGCAUCACUCUGUUGUAAACCAAUAAGUAAGUUCACCUACUGGUGCAUAUUUAUUUCACCAUUGUGCAUUUCCAUAAUCCUUGGUAUGUCACUAAUUUUCUGAUAAACUUUUCUUUCAUAUGUUUAGUUUUGCUUUACUCUGUUACUACCUUCAUUCUAAUUUGAGGCCAAUGCACUGCAUAGUCUUAUCACCUUCUUUCUCACUGAUCACGCAUCCUAUGACUUUUUACUGUGAAUUCUGUUCAAUAUUGCUGUAGAGCUUCAUGCUACAUUCAGUGAUGUGGUUAUUUAAUGCCAAGAGUUUGGAAAAGGUAAAUAUAAUGUUCAAGACAGCAAUUUAUUCUGGUACGUGUUGUGUUUGCUAAGACUUACUAAAUGUUUCACAUAUAAAUAUAGUGUGUAAAGUUUUGGCAGAAUGGAAAUAAUUUAGGAGUAGAGGAAACAGCCUACAAAACAGGAGAAUCAUUGAGUUGUCAACAGAUACACAAAAAAAGAAUGGAAAUUUUGCUAGAUUUUGGAUAGGCCUAUCAUACAUUGAAGACUAGCCCCAGCCAGCCUUUUUUGUGCUGUCUGGGGUUUGAGAAUUUUUUGACUGGUGAGUACUUUUUUUUUUUAAUUUGGGCCUAUAUGUGCAAAAAUAAUUUUUAAACAUUCUCUUGCAUGCUUCUCUCAUCCAGUCUUGGAACAAAUGCAUACAACAAUAGGGAGUUAUGGCUACAGGUUGUGCCACAACUUUUCACUUUGUAAUUUGGAAAAACAACAAGGGCUAUAUGUCUGUGCUGUUUUCAUGUGUGCAUUUUUUAUCAUUUUAUCUCGGUUGUUUUAUAUCUCAUCAUUGAGGAAUAGGCAAAAAAGUGUGUUUUAAUAUUAAUC
This is a long non-coding RNA of Schistocerca serialis cubense, 3693 nucleotides long. RefSeq lists it as uncharacterized. The record is from RefSeq and is a predicted model, not a curated record. The transcript is spliced from 5 exons. Lineage: Eukaryota; Metazoa; Arthropoda; Insecta; Orthoptera; Acrididae.